Equus asinus (donkey) is the source of this 118-nucleotide small nuclear RNA. Its record names the gene U2. It matches the Rfam family "U2 spliceosomal RNA". Rfam says of the family: U2 is a small nuclear RNA (snRNA) component of the spliceosome (involved in pre-mRNA splicing). Complementary binding between U2 snRNA (in an area lying towards the 5' end but 3' to hairpin I) and the branchpoint sequence (BPS) of the intron results the bulging out of an unpaired adenosine, on the BPS, which initiates a nucleophilic attack at the intronic 5' splice site, thus starting the first of two transesterification reactions that mediate splicing. NCBI's taxonomy places the organism in Eukaryota, Metazoa, Chordata, Mammalia, Perissodactyla, Equidae. The record is from Ensembl.
GUCUCUUUUUGGCCUUUUGGCUAAGAUGAAGUGUUAGUAUCUGUUCUUAUCAGUUUAAUAAGUACUGAAAUUAACCUUACAUUUACAGAUAACGUCUAUACUUAGAGAAAGAACAUCU